UUGUGGUCGCCUUCUGUUCCGCUGCUAAUUGCUGUGUUUACAUAGCUGACGACAGCGUUAACAUGCGCGGGUGGUUUGUUAUGAGUAUAAUUAUUGCGUGUGUAGCUAGAUAGAUAACCCAGCGAGUAGGCCAAGAGGAGACAGAUGAAGUAAACAACAGGUUUAACGGCAGAUGAAAUUCUCUUUGAGUAGCGAAAGUGGUGCGGCAGAGGUGGGGAUCGUGGUUCUUGUUUCAUGUUACAAGACUAGUUCUUCGAUCGGCGGGUUUAAUUUUGGUUAUAAGAGAAAAGGGAUUGCUAAUUAAUGGACAAUGGUAUUGUAUAUAUGGAAAUUAAAAGAGGGGGAAAAAUUUUCCUUUUACAGCUGCAGCAAUAAUAUAACAUUAUAAUGGCUUGGAAUCCAGAGAAAGAAAGUUCUUAAUAUUUUCAAGUGAAUUAUGGAAUUACGAUCAUGAAAAAUUGCUACCCUUUCUUCCUGUAUU
Molecule: long non-coding RNA, 481 nt
Filed under: Nicotiana tabacum (common tobacco)
Lineage: Eukaryota; Viridiplantae; Streptophyta; Magnoliopsida; Solanales; Solanaceae
Description: long non-coding RNA (NTAB_LNC009413)
Source: RNAcentral